Molecule: transfer RNA, 62 nt
Filed under: Atractolytocestus huronensis
Lineage: Eukaryota; Metazoa; Platyhelminthes; Cestoda; Caryophyllidea; Lytocestidae
Description: tRNA-Trp
Source: RNAcentral
GUUUCACUAAGUUAUCAGACUAAGUGUUUUCAAAACACUAAGGGGCAUGUUGUCGUGUGACG